CUCAUCAAAAACAGAUCAGUAGUUUGAGAGAUGAAGUAGAAGCAAAAGAAAAACUUAUUACUGAUCUUCAAGACCAAAACCAGAAAAUGAUGUUAGAGCAGGAACGUCUAAGAGUAGAACAUGAGAAGCUGAAAGCCACAGAUCAGGAAAAGAGCAGAAAACUACAUGAACUUACGGUUAUGCAGGAUAGACGAGAACAAGCAAGACAAGACUUGAAGGGUUUGGAAGAGACAGUGAGUGCCGAGAUUGAUUCUGAUGAUACGGGAGGCAGCGCUGCUCAGAAGCAAAAAAUCUCCUUUCUUGAAAAUAAUCUUGAACAGCUCACUAAAGUGCACAAACAGUUGGUACGUGAUAAUGCAGAUCUCCGCUGUGAACUUCCUAAGUUGGAAAAGCGACUUCGAGCUACAGCUGAGAGAGUGAAAGCUUUGGAAUCAGCACUGAAAGAAGCUAAAGAAAAUGCAUCUCGUGAUCGCAAACGCUAUCAGCAAGAAGUA
Molecule: small RNA, 494 nt
Filed under: Pongo abelii (Sumatran orangutan)
Lineage: Eukaryota; Metazoa; Chordata; Mammalia; Primates; Hominidae
Description: processed transcript
Source: RNAcentral